UCGCUUUCCUGUCAGGGCCUGGCAGCCCGCGAGCAGCGCGGAACGAGGACGCUCGCCGCCCCGGCGCGACCCGGGGGUCACGUGGACGACGCUGCACUCCGUCGCGCGAACCCGCGGGCCUUUGAAGUUGCCCGAGUCGUCCUGACGGCAGAUCCCUCCGUGGAGGACUGAUGCUCUGCCAGCAGAGUAGGACGCCGUCGUUCCCUAGACUGCCCUUCGGGAUAAAAGCGACAGUCGUGCAGCGCAGCCCCAGGGCCGGGCUCCCGUCUGAGCGCGCCGCCAUUGUUCCCGUCGCCCCUCGAUGUUUCCACAGGCGCCGCGGUUUGCCGAGGGGAGGACCGAGCCGUUUGCGGAGGAAAAGUUGCGCUUUCCGCCGAGUCCAUCCGGAGAAGGCGGCCUGGUCUCCCGUCGCGUUUGCUUUUCCGUGGGAAGAACUGACGGGAGCCCAAGGACGACGCCGGCGUCCCAGUCGGCCUCAGGUCUACCUCCUGCUCCCUCCAGCGUCCGCCUCGAGGGCACGAGGAGGAGACGUGAGAGGCCCGCGCUGAGGAGACUGGGUCUGUCUUUGUCCGCACGGGGGCUCGGCUCGUCCCAAUUGUGUGACUUUGCGGGAUUCCCAGGAAAUAAAAGCCAGGGACAAAGCACCAGGAAGAUGACCCGGUCCACUUGAGCCUGGCCUGCUCCUCGCACCCCACCCCUCCCCCGCCAUCUGUGAGGGGACCCCGGGGGCGAGGGACGGCGAGCCUGGAAAGGACUUGGGCUGAGAGACGCGGAUACCUUUUGCAGCCUGAUAUUUUCUUCUCAGGCUCCUUUCUGAGGCAUAAUGAAGGCGCGUGUGUGUCGGCGAGUGUUCCCUCAGACGGUGCGACAAAGCAGAACACAAAAGCUGUCUCCUAGUACUUGGGGAUUAGUUGUCAGCCCUCCCCCCGCCCCCCUCCACCCCACUUUUUUUGCUUAAGGCAUUUCAAGUAUCAUCUGGUUAUUUGGUUAUUUCUGAGGAAUAAAGAAUAGCUGUGAACGGGAUGUUGUGGCAACAUCCAUGUUCAGCUGUGAUUUUAAUUGCUCGGAAGUGUGGAAACUCGGUUUUUCAGUUUCAGAACUCUGUCUCUUUCUGGCGCUGUCUCUCCAGGCUUCCUUUGAAUGGAGAGACCCCGCGUCCUUCUAGAAUAAAUCUGCAGCUCGAGAAUACACUCAGUCAGAGGUGGAUUUACCAUGAAUGAAUGAAGCUUAAGCUUUAGGGCCUCUCAUUUUGAAGGCUGCUUUCAAGGUCCUGAGAAGGAGCCUAGCAGUGUGUUCACAUGGUCACGUAUUUUUGUUAGAGUUUUUCUUAAAGCUACACGAAAGUUGUAAGUUUCAGUUCUUGGGCAAUGUCUGGCAGCAGAGUGAGUAAUUUCUUAUAAUUUCUUAUAAGCUGCCCAUCUCUAAAUGGUGGCAUAUAAAUUAGGUUAAUGUAGGAUAUUUUAGAGAGGGAUUUUUUUGGCAGUCACCAUUGUCCUCUCAAUAUGCAAAACACCAUUUAUUAUACUUGGAUUUGUCUUAAGGAAAGCAGCUGCAGAAGAUAGAAGAUUUUCUGGAGGGUUUCACAACGCUAACUAAUGAGGAAGAAAAUAAUACCUCAUAAUUCAUGACAGGAAGGGGCUGCCUCCUUGUUAUUUGUUGGGACAUUAGCUAUUGACAAAAGGACUGCAUGGCACAUCCUCCGGACCUUUUCUUCAGGACUGGGAGAAACGACAGGAAUGUUUGAAACGACGUAAGGGCCUUCGUAUUUCCUUUGCUCCUUUCAUCUUCCAUUUUUUUGGUGUGGCAAGUGUUGGGCCUGCAGGCUUCUUAUGGUUGGCUUUGGUGAGAGGUUCCGGAGGAGGAGGGAGCCCAGGAUUUGUAGGGCAGUCUCCCCUCAGGAGAGGGUCCAGGGGUAUCAUUGAGGCUCUGUGUUGCUUGAACUCCAGCUCUGGUCCUCCUAACCACAUCAUGAGGAAGCUUCCUGAAGCAGCGGGAGACACCAGACGUGUGAACUUCAUGUACCCCCGGAUUUAGUUAACAAGGUCCAUCCUAAGUGUGUUAAUUUACCCUGCUCUCUUUUUUCCUUGCUACUCUCUGUAUGUUUCAAAUUAAAUUGAUAAACCACGUGACUGGAA
Long non-coding RNA from Lutra lutra (Eurasian river otter), 2135 nucleotides. RefSeq lists it as uncharacterized. The transcript is spliced from 2 exons. NCBI's taxonomy places the organism in Eukaryota, Metazoa, Chordata, Mammalia, Carnivora, Mustelidae. The record is from RefSeq and is a predicted model, not a curated record.